This 535-nucleotide long non-coding RNA is filed under the name Cyanistes caeruleus (blue tit). RNAcentral describes it as "lncRNA (ENSCCEG00000018060.1)". The record is from RNAcentral. Lineage: Eukaryota; Metazoa; Chordata; Aves; Passeriformes; Paridae.
CUUCCCAGUAAGCUUCUGCUAGUAUUUAGGUACUAGUGCAGCCUAGGCCCCUUUUCUCAGGGAUAGCCUAACAUCUGACCGCACCCUCUUUGCUUUUUAAAAAAUGCCUUUUCACUCUUUAAGAUAAAUCCUCUAUUAUACAAUCUGCCACUAAUUGUGUGUUAAGACUGUUUUUCUCUCGAAAGCUGACGCAUCCUGCUCUCAACAUGAUCUAGAAAGCAGGCUGUUACAGUACUGGAUUAAUAAAAGGGGCCUUUAUGGUUUGUGAAAGAAUAUCUCUGUGCUUAGGCAGGAAACUUUUUGAUCCACAGCAAAGCCAGACGACAUCUAGAGCAAGAGAGGCCAACUUGAAGAGCAUGCAUAUUGUGAUACCCUCAGUGGUGUCUUUUACAAUAUGUUCUGCUCCAGCCAGUGAAUUUUCUUCAACUGGCCAGGUAAGCAAAAUGGUUAUUUAUGCUUAUUAAUGUGCUUAUUUAUAUGUCAUAUUUUUAUUUUUUUUUUAGAAAAAUAUUUUCCAGACAUUUGACAACUAAUU